RNAcentral lists this ribosomal RNA (639 nucleotides) under uncultured Streptomyces sp. Its description in RNAcentral is "bacterial SSU rRNA". It matches the Rfam family "Bacterial small subunit ribosomal RNA", at positions 223 to 872 of the family's 1533-position model. Lineage: Bacteria; Bacillati; Actinomycetota; Actinomycetes; Kitasatosporales; Streptomycetaceae. The record is from RNAcentral.
GGAUGAGCCCGCGGCCUAUCAGCUUGUUGGUGGGGUAAUGGCCUACCAAGGCGACGACGGGUAGCCGGCCUGAGAGGACGACCGGCCACACUGGGACUGAGACACGGCCCAGACUCCAACGGGAGGCAGCAGUGGGGAAUAUUGCACAAUGGGCGAAAGCCUGAUGCAGCGACGCCGCGUGAGGGAUGACGGCCUUCGGGUUGUAAACCUCUUUCAGCAGGGAAGAAGCGCAAGUGACGGUACCUGCAGAAGAAGCGCCGGCUAACUACGUGCCAGCAGCCGCGGUAAUACGUAGGGCGCAAGCGUUGUCCGGAAUUAUUGGGCGUAAAGAGCUCGUAGGCGGCUUGUCACGUCGGAUGUGAAAGCCCGGGGCUUAACCCCGGGUCUGCAUUCGAUACGGGCAGGCUAGAGUUCGGUAGGGGAGAUCGGAAUUCCUGGUGUAGCGGUGAAAUGCGCAGAUAUCAGGAGGAACACCGGUGGCGAAGGCGGAUCUCUGGGCCGAUACUGACGCUGAGGAGCGAAAGCGUGGGGAGCGAACAGGAUUAGAUACCCUGGUAGUCCACGCCGUAAACGUUGGGAACUAGGUGUGGGCGACAUUCCACGCCGUCCGUGCCGCAGCUAACGCAUUAAGUUCCCCGC